GACGAACGCUGGCGGCGUGCCUAAUACAUGCAAGUUGAGCGCUGAAGGUUGGUACUUGUACCAACUGGAUGAGCAGCGAACGGGUGAGUAACGCGUGGGGAAUCUGCCUUUGAGCGGGGGACAACAUUUGGAAACGAAUGCUAAUACCGCAUAAAAACUUUAAACACAAGUUUUAAGUUUGAAAGAUUCAAUUGCAUCACUCAAAGAUGAUCCCGCGUUGUAUUAGCUAGUUGGUGAGGUAAAGGCUCACCAAGGCGAUGAUACAUAGCCGACCUGAGAGGGUGAUCGGCCACAUUGGGACUGAGACACGGCCCAAACUCCUACGGGAGGCAGCAGUAGGGAAUCUUCGGCAAUGGACGAAAGUCUGACCGAGCAACGCCGCGUGAGUGAAGAAGGUUUUCGGAUCGUAAAACUCUGUUGGUAGAGAAGAACGUUGGUGAGAGUGGAAAGCUCAUCAAGUGACGGUAACUACCCAGAAAGGGACGGCUAACUACGUG
This 497-nucleotide ribosomal RNA is filed under the name uncultured bacterium. RNAcentral describes it as "partial 16S ribosomal RNA". It matches the Rfam family "Bacterial small subunit ribosomal RNA", at positions 28 to 507 of the family's 1533-position model. The record is from RNAcentral.